GUGCCAGCCGCCGCGGUAAUACCGGCAGCCCGAGUGAUGGCCGAUCUUAUUGGGCCUAAAGCGUCCGUAGCUGGCUGCGCAAGUCCGUCGGGAAAUCCACUCGCCCAACGAGUGGGCGUCCGACGGAAACUGCACAGCUUGGGGCCGGAGGACCCGAGGGGUACGUCCGGGGUAGGAGUGAAAUCCUGUAAUCCUGGACGGACCGCCGGUGGCGAAAGCACUCUGAGAAGACGGCUUCGACAGUGAGGGACGAAAGCCAGGGUCUCGAACCGGAUUAGAAACCCGAGUAGUCC
This 293-nucleotide ribosomal RNA is filed under the name uncultured bacterium. Its description in RNAcentral is "partial 16S ribosomal RNA". It matches the Rfam family "Archaeal small subunit ribosomal RNA", at positions 455 to 747 of the family's 1478-position model. The record is from RNAcentral.